Molecule: unclassified non-coding RNA, 365 nt
Filed under: soil metagenome
Description: partial contains 5.8S ribosomal RNA, internal transcribed spacer 2, and large subunit ribosomal RNA
Rfam family: 5.8S ribosomal RNA (bases 1-120)
Source: RNAcentral
GAUGAAGAACGUAGCGAAAUGCGAUAAGUAAUGUGAAUUGCAGAGUUUAGUGAAUCAUCGAAUCUUUGAACGCACAUUGCGCCCCUCGGUAUUCCGACGGGCAUGCCUGUUCGAGCGUCGUUUGCAUACCCUCAAGCGGAAUUCGUGUCGGCUUGGUCUUGGGCCGUCGUCCCCCUCGUUGCAAGGGGGACGGGCCCCGAAGCAAGCGGCGGCCUCGGAUGGCACCGCCGGAGCGUCUUCGUGACAACCCCGUUCCGGCGCGCACAUCCCAGGGUCGCCCUACAAAAAAGAGAACAUCACAAAAGUUCCGACCUCGGAUCAGGCAGGGAUACCCGCUGAACUUAAGCAUUUCAAUAAGCGGAGGA